RNAcentral lists this ribosomal RNA (440 nucleotides) under uncultured bacterium. RNAcentral's name for it is "partial 16S ribosomal RNA". It matches the Rfam family "Bacterial small subunit ribosomal RNA", at positions 338 to 795 of the family's 1533-position model. The record is from RNAcentral.
CCUACGGGAGGCAGCAGUGAGGGAUAUUGGUCAAUGGGGGAAACCCUGAACCAGCAACGCCGCGUGAGGGAAGACGGUUUUCGGAUUGUAAACCUCUGUCCUCUGUGAAGAUAAUUACGGUAGCCGAGGAGUAAUCUCCGGCUCACUACGUGCCAGCCGCCGCGGUCAUACGUAGGGAGCAAGCGUUGUCCGGAUUUACUGGGUGUAAAGGGUGCGUAUGCGGCCUUGCAAGUCAGACGUGAAAUCCAUGGGCUUAACCCGUGAACUGCUGUUGAAACUGUAGGGCUUGAGUGACGUAGAGGCAGGCGGAAUUCGCGGUGUAGCGGUGAAAUGCGUAGAGAUCGGGAGGAACACCAGUGGCGAAGGCGGCCUGCUGGGCUGUAACUGACGCUGAAGCACGAAAGCGUGGGUAGCAAACAGGAUUAGAUACCCCUGUAGUC